GAUGAAGAACGCAGCGAAAUGCGAUAAGUAAUGUGAAUUGCAGAAUUCAGUGAAUCAUCGAAUCUUUGAACGCACCUUGCGCCCUUUGGCUAUUCCGAAGGGCAUGCCUGUUUGAGUAUCAUGAACACCUCAACUCUCAUGGUCUGCCAUGAUGAGCUUGGACUUUGGGGGUCUUGCCGGCCUAUGGGUCGGCUCCUCUCAAAUUAAUCAGCUUGCCAGUGUUUGGUGGCAUCACAGGUGUGAUAACUAUCUACGCUUGUGGUUUUCCAUCAGGUAACCUUCAGUGAUGGAGGUUCGCUGGGGCUCAUAAAUGUCUCUCCUCAGUGAGGACAGCUUUUUUGAACGUUUGAUCUCAAAUCAGGUAGGACUACCCGCUGAACUUAAGCAUAUCAAUAAGCGGAGGA
RNAcentral lists this unclassified non-coding RNA (404 nucleotides) under soil metagenome. Its description in RNAcentral is "partial contains 5.8S ribosomal RNA, internal transcribed spacer 2, and large subunit ribosomal RNA". The stretch from base 1 to 121 matches the Rfam family "5.8S ribosomal RNA", at positions 35 to 154 of the family's 154-position model. The record is from RNAcentral.